AAAGUUGAAAAGAACUUUGAAGAGAGAGUUCAAGAGUACGUGAAACCGUUCAGGGGUAAACCUGAGAAACCCAAAAGAUCGAAUGGGGAGAUUCAUCGUCAGCUCAUUUUGUAUAUAUGCAAGUUAUGAUAUGGGUUACUACUUGUAGUAUUGCUUAUACAUUCUUGUAUAUUUAAUUGCAAGAUGUUGUCGGCGUGCACUUCUCCCCUAGUAGGACGUCGCGACCCGUUGAGUGUCGGUCUACGGCCCGAGUGGUAGCCUUUAAUUCUUGUAAUUAAAGACCCUUGGUGUUUCCUGACUGACUGCUCGGCGGUAUUCGUAUGGUAUUAAGCCGCAUUUAUGCGUUUAUAUCCGUCGCAAGCGCGAUUAAUUUUUGGUAGUACGGACCCAGUACCGUCGCUAUAAUUAAUCAGCUGUUGGUUGUACGGUAUUCUAAAACUGGCUUUUAAAAUAAAUACCGGUCAGCGAUGCUACUGCUUUGGGUACUUUCAGGACCCGUCUUGAAACACGGACCAAGGAGUCUAACAUGUACGCGAGUCAUUGGGAUUUUUUAAUAAAUUAAACCUAAAGGCGUAAUGAAAGUAAAGGUCGUCCUUGUGUCGAUUGAGGGAGGAUNAGUUGUGUUAAGAUACAGCUUCGCACUCCCGGGGCGUCUCAUUCUCAUUACGAGAA
This 672-nucleotide ribosomal RNA is filed under the name Shawiana sp. BIOUG19826-C08. Its description in RNAcentral is "partial 28S ribosomal RNA". It matches the Rfam family "Eukaryotic large subunit ribosomal RNA", at positions 360 to 785 of the family's 3401-position model. Lineage: Eukaryota; Metazoa; Arthropoda; Insecta; Hymenoptera; Braconidae. The record is from RNAcentral.